GCUGAAACCGGCGCACGGGUGCGUAACGCGUAUACAAUCUGCCUUUCACAUAGGGAUAGCCCGAAGAAAUUUGGAUUAAUACCUAAUGGUAUAUAGGAGCGGCAUCGUUUUUAUAUUAAAGCUACGGUGGUGAAAGAUGAGUAUGCGUUCUAUUAACUAGUUGGAGAGGUAACGGCUCCCCAGAGCGACGAUAGAUAGGGGUUCUGAGAGGGAUGUCCCCCACACUGGUACUGAGAUACGGAACAGACUCCUACGGGAGGCAGCAGUGAGGAAUAUUGGACAAUGGUCGGAAGACUGAUCCAGCCAUGCCGCGUGCAGGAUGAAGGUCCUAUGGAUUGUAAACUGCUUUUGUAAGGGAAGAAUAAGGGGUACGUGUACUUUGAUGACGGUACCUUACGAAUAGGCAUCGGCUAACUCCGUGCCAGCAGCCGCGGUAAUACGGAGGAUGCGAGCGUUAUCCGGAAUCAUUGGGUUUAAAGGGUCCGUAGGCGGGCUAAUAAGUCAGAGGUGAAAGCGUUCAGCUCAACUGAGCAACUGCCUUUGAAACUGUUAGUCUUGAAUGAUUGUGAAGUAGUUGGAAUGUGUAGUGUAGCGGUGAAAUGCUUAGAUAUUACACAGAACACCGAUAGCGAAGGCAUAUUACUAACAAUUUAUUGACGCUGAUGGACGAAAGCGUGGGGAGCGAACAGGAUUAGAUACCCUGGUAGUCCACGCUGUAAACGAUGGAUACUAGCUGUUUGGAGCAAUCUGAGUGGCUAAGCGAAAGUGAUAAGUAUCCCACCUGGGGAGUACGCACGCAAGUGU
RNAcentral lists this ribosomal RNA (804 nucleotides) under uncultured Bacteroidota bacterium. RNAcentral describes it as "bacterial SSU rRNA". It matches the Rfam family "Bacterial small subunit ribosomal RNA", at positions 88 to 895 of the family's 1533-position model. Lineage: Bacteria; Pseudomonadati; Bacteroidota. The record is from RNAcentral.